GACUCUCAGCAACGGAUAUCUGGGCUCUCGUGUCAAUGAAAAACGUAGCGAAAUGCGAUACUUGGUGUAAAUUACAGAAUCCCAUGAACCAUCGAGUCUUUGAAUGCAAGUUGCGCCUGAAGCCAUUUGGCCGAGGACACAUUUGUCUGGCCGUCA
Ribosomal RNA from Solanum lycopersicum (tomato), 156 nucleotides. RefSeq annotates it as 5.8S ribosomal RNA. NCBI's taxonomy places the organism in Eukaryota, Viridiplantae, Streptophyta, Magnoliopsida, Solanales, Solanaceae. The record is from RefSeq and is a predicted model, not a curated record.